Molecule: ribosomal RNA, 210 nt
Filed under: uncultured bacterium
Lineage: Bacteria
Description: partial 16S ribosomal RNA
Rfam family: Bacterial small subunit ribosomal RNA
Source: RNAcentral
UUCGGAUUGUAGUCUGCAACCCGGCCUACAUGAAGCUGGAAUCGCUAGUAAUCGCAGAUCAGAAUGCUGCGGUGAAUACGUUCCCGGGCCUUGUACACACCGCCCGUCACACCAUGGGAGUCGGUAACACCCGAAGUCGGUAGCCUAACCGUAAGGAGGGCGCCGCCGAAGGUGGGAUUGAUGACUGGGGUGAAGUCGUAACAAGGUACC